UUCCGCAGCAGCGACUGGCGCCAUCGAGGUGGAGCACCACCGGGAAGCGACGACGAGGCCGGCACCGCGCGCCUGGGUGAAGGCC
This is a non-coding RNA of Amycolatopsis australiensis, 85 nucleotides long. Lineage: Bacteria; Bacillati; Actinomycetota; Actinomycetes; Pseudonocardiales; Pseudonocardiaceae. The record is from Rfam.